Molecule: ribosomal RNA, 378 nt
Filed under: uncultured Deinococcota bacterium
Lineage: Bacteria; Thermotogati; Deinococcota
Description: bacterial SSU rRNA
Rfam family: Bacterial small subunit ribosomal RNA
Source: RNAcentral
CGCAAUGGGGGGAACCCUGACGCAGCGACGCCGCGUGCGGGAUGACGGUCUUCGGAUUGUAAACCGCUUUUCCCAGGGACGAUAAUGACGGUACCUGGGGAAGAAGCCCCGGCUAACUCCGUGCCAGCAGCCGCGGUAAGACGGAGGGGGCAAGCGUUGUCCGGAAUUACUGGGCGUAAAGCGCUCGUAGGCGGUCGCGUACGGCGGUGGUGAAAGCUCCCGGCUCAACUGGGAGAGGCCCGCCGCAACGGCGUGACUCGAGGGUGGUAGAGGCAGAUGGAAUUCCUGGUGUAGCGGUGAAAUGCGUAGAGAUCAGGAGGAACACCCGUGGCGAAGGCGGUCUGCUGGGCCAUGCCUGACGCUGAGGAGCGAAAGCUA